ACGCCACAAUUUGCCAAUGGAUUGUAGAUGCUUGGGCUAACAUGUCUGCUGGCACUGUUGUUCGAGCUUUCGCAAAAGCCGGCAUCGUUUCCGAGGAGCCGCACGGCACGGAAAGUGACUCUGACGGUGAAGAAAGUGAACCUGGCAUGUUUGAUGGAGAUUUAGCGCAGCUGUUCAAUUCAGACACAGAGGAUGAGGACUUCCAUGGGUUUGAUUGAUGAUAAAAAUAAAUACAUCACAAAAUAAAGCCACAUUCCCAUGCUCUGAGAUUCUUAUGCACCUCCUCAACAAUACAUGGUAAGUUCAUGUUUGCCUUAUUAUUAUUAUUAUUAUGUUAUUUAUUUUUUUUGGAUGAUGCAGAAGUUUAAUCUCCUUGACGUUUUCUAAUGCAUAUUUCAUUUUUUAUCAGUGACGUGUAUGUGGCAGUGCAAGCAUUGUGUUACCAGAGAGAGCAGCAGGUACAAAUUACUUCAACAUUAUAAACUACAUCAUC
This is a long non-coding RNA of Astatotilapia calliptera (eastern happy), 493 nucleotides long. NCBI's taxonomy places the organism in Eukaryota, Metazoa, Chordata, Actinopteri, Cichliformes, Cichlidae. The record is from Ensembl.